CCUACGGGAGGCAGCAGUGAGGAAUCUUGGUCAAUGGACGAGAGUCUGAACCAGCCAAGUAGCGUGAAGGAUGACUGCCCUAUGGGUUGUAAACUUCUUUUAUAUGGGAAUAAAGUGUUGCACGUGUGGGAUUUUGUAUGUACUAUAUGAAUAAGGAUCGGCUAACUCCGUGCCAGCAGCCGCGGUAAUACGGAGGAUCCGAGCGUUAUCCGGAUUUAUUGGGUUUAAAGGGAGCGUAGGUGGGUUGUUAAGUCAGUUGUGAAAUUUUUGGGCGUAAACGGAAAAUUGCAAGUGGAACUUGGAGGAUUGAGGAAAGGUAGGGGUGGGGGGAAUCGUGGGGG
This 341-nucleotide ribosomal RNA is filed under the name uncultured bacterium. Its description in RNAcentral is "partial 16S ribosomal RNA". It matches the Rfam family "Bacterial small subunit ribosomal RNA", at positions 338 to 675 of the family's 1533-position model. The record is from RNAcentral.